GGAGCAUGCACCAAUAAAAAGAGUAGCUUCAUUUAAAAAGUGUGUCAAGGAAUUGCAUGGAAUAAUCUAUAAGAAAUUGAAAGAGCACAAGGCAACUUUUAAUCCAGAUGCUACUCCACGUGACCUAAUGGACCAGCUGCUUUUAGCACAAAAAGAGUCUGAAGAGGAGGAAGGUGAAGAUACUAAGAACUUGCUGACAGACACACAUGUUGUGCAGACUGUAUCAGAUGUGUUUUUUGCUGGAACAGAAACCUCCUCAGAAACCCUGAAAUGGACACUUAUGUAUACAGCAGCUUAUCCAGAUGUUCAGGAACAGAUGCACAAUGAAAUAUUGGAUGUUUUAGGUGAAUGG
Molecule: long non-coding RNA, 352 nt
Organism: Lingula anatina
Lineage: Eukaryota; Metazoa; Brachiopoda; Lingulata; Lingulida; Lingulidae
Source: RefSeq, a predicted model, not a curated record